CGUGUAGGCGGAUUGCCAAGUCAGAUGUGAAAUCCCCAGGCUUAACUUGGGAACUGCAUUUGAAACUGGCGAUCUUGAGUACGGGAGAGGGAAGUGGAAUUCCUAAUGUAGAGGUGAAAUUCGUAGAUAUUAGGAGGAACACCGGUGGCGAAGGCGGCUUCCUGGACCGAUACUGACGUUGAGACGCGAGAGCGUGGGGAGCAAACA
RNAcentral lists this ribosomal RNA (207 nucleotides) under uncultured bacterium. Its description in RNAcentral is "partial 16S ribosomal RNA". It matches the Rfam family "Bacterial small subunit ribosomal RNA", at positions 568 to 774 of the family's 1533-position model. The record is from RNAcentral.